RNAcentral lists this ribosomal RNA (465 nucleotides) under uncultured bacterium. Its description in RNAcentral is "bacterial SSU rRNA". It matches the Rfam family "Bacterial small subunit ribosomal RNA", at positions 338 to 795 of the family's 1533-position model. The record is from RNAcentral.
CCUACGGGCCGCACCAGUGGGGAAUAUUGCACAAUGGGCGCAAGCCUGAUGCAGCCAUGCCGCGUGUAUGAAGAAGGCCUUCGGGUCGUAAAGUACUUUCAGCGGGGAGGAAGGUGUUGAGGUUAAUAACCUCAGCAAUUGACGUUACCCGCAGAAGAAGCACCGGCUAACUCCGUGCCAGCAGCUGCGGUAAUACGGAGGGUGCAAGAGUUAAUCGGAAUUACUGGGCGUAAAGCGCACGCAGGCGGUCUGUCAAGUCGGAUGUGAAAUCCCCGGGCUCAACCUGGGAACUGCAUUCGAAACUGGCAGGCUAGAGUCUUGUAGAGGGGGGUAGAAUUCCUGGUGUAGCGGUGAAAUGCGUAGAGAUCUGGAGGAAUACCGGUGGCGAAGGCGGCCCCCUGGACAGAGACUGACGCUCAGGUGCGAAAGCGUGGGGAGCAAACAGGAUUAGAUACCCCUGUAGUC